Molecule: ribosomal RNA, 1028 nt
Filed under: Nocardioides nanhaiensis
Lineage: Bacteria; Bacillati; Actinomycetota; Actinomycetes; Propionibacteriales; Nocardioidaceae
Description: bacterial SSU rRNA
Source: RNAcentral
UAAACCUCUUUCAUUACCGACGAAGCUCAGUGUUGAUCUGGGUGACGGUAGGUGGAGAAGAAGCACCGGCCAACUACGUGCCAGCAGCCGCGGUAAUACGUAGGGUGCGAGCGUUGUCUGGAAUUAUUGGGCGUAAAGGGCUCGUAGGCGGUUUGUCGCGUCGGGAGUGAAAACACCGGGCUUAACUCGGUGCUUGCUUUCGAUACGGGCAGACUGGAGGUAUGCAGGGGAGAACGGAAUUCCUGGUGUAGCGGUGAAAUGCGCAGAUAUCAGGAGGAACACCGGUGGCGAAGGCGGUUCUCUGGGCAUUACCUGACGCUGAGGAGCGAAAGUGUGGGGAGCGAACAGGAUUAGAUACCCUGGUAGUCCACACCGUAAACGUUGGGCGCUAGGUGUGGGAUCCAUUCCACGGGUUCCGUGCCGCAGCUAACGCAUUAAGCGCCCCGCCUGGGGAGUACGGCCGCAAGGCUAAAACUCAAAGGAAUUGACGGGGGCCCGCACAAGCGGCGGAGCMUGCGGAUUAAUUCGAUGCAACGCGAAGAACCUUACCUGGGUUUGACAUACACCCUGCCGCUCCAGAGAUGGGGUUUYUUUUGGGGGUGUACAGGUGGUGCAUGGCUGUYGUCAGCUCGUGUCGUGAGAUGUUGGGUUAAGUCCCGCAACGAGCGCAACCCUYGUCCUAUGUUGCCAGCGGGUCAUGCCGGGGACUCAUAGGAGACUGCCGGGGUCAACUCGGAGGAAGGUGGGGAUGACGUCAAGUCAUCAUGCCCCUUAUGUCCAGGGCUUCACGCMUGCUACAAUGGCCGGUACAAAGGGCUGCGAUCCCGUGAGGGGGAGCGAAUCCCAAAAAGCCGGUYUCAGUUCGGAUUGGGGUYUGCAACUCGACCCCMUGAAGUUGGAGUCGCUAGUAAUCGCAGAUCAGCAACGCUGCGGUGAAUACGUUCCCGGGCCUUGUACACACCGCCCGUCACGUCMUGAAAGUYGGCAACACCCGAAGCCCAUGGCCCAACCCGCUGCGGGGGGGAGUG